Molecule: non-coding RNA, 180 nt
Filed under: Chromera velia
Lineage: Eukaryota; Chromeraceae
Source: RNAcentral
AGAUGAAUGAAUGAACAGACGAAUGAAUGAAUGAAAGGAUCAAUGGCGCUUUCACGACCCGUUACCAUAUUUUUUAUUCUGGAAUCACCAGACAGAUUGUCUAGUUUCUUUUCCUGUCCUUUUAUGCAGCACGUUUUUUUUUUUUUCCGACUUACAUACAGACCGACAAGACGGUUUGAC